Long non-coding RNA from Mauremys reevesii (Reeves's turtle), 2978 nucleotides. RefSeq lists it as uncharacterized. The record is from RefSeq and is a predicted model, not a curated record. Lineage: Eukaryota; Metazoa; Chordata; Testudines; Geoemydidae. The transcript has 3 exons.
CUCCUGUGGCUUUGCCUCAGCAAGUCUCCUUCUCGAGGUCUCUCCUUGAGGACUGAGAGAGAAUUCUGGUUCACAUACGUGAGCGUGAGAAGGAACCUCUUUGGAGUUUUCUCCUUUCCUUUUACUGAUUUUACUAGAAAAGAGACAUCGCUGUUUAGAAGCCAGUCGAUCGCUCAGUGUCAUCACCCUGCCUGCUGGCUGGGCAGGGUAACUCCUCAGGUCACCACCGUCUCCAGCCUGCCUUGGGCUUGGGGAGUGAGGAGGAGGAUGAACAUCCGCCAUCCAUCACUCCAUCACCUAGAGCAAGAUGUCCAGGCUCCUGAGGAUGUUGAGGAAGAAGGCUCUGCAGGUGGCCCCAGAGCCUGAGGAAAGCAGCUGCCACCUUCCUCAGAAGCAGAGCGGCCUCUCCGUCUCCACUGGCGGGGAAGCAGCUCUCAGCCAGGUCAGGAGGUAGAAGUGCUCAGCCUUCUGUCAGAGGAAACCAGCUCCCAGAGCAGGUGCCGAGGUGGGAGAGGCAGCGGCCAGGUCCCAAUAGAGCUGGCCCAGGAUGCAGCUGGGCAGGCAGGACCCAGCCCAGAAGGGGAGCCGGACAGGGUGAUUCUGGGGCUUGUUGUGUGGGCAGCAGCGGCACCAGGAGCCCAGCCCUGAUUCCCAGCAGAAGGCGUUGCCCUGCCCAGUCACCGAGGAUCUUCCAGCUCUCCAGGGCAGGAGGUGGAAGAUCCCUGUCCCAGCACCAGCAGCUCGGGCCAUGGGGGUCUUUUGGGGGAGAAAUGGGAUCCCUGAUACAUAGCCUGGCUGGGAGCUUUCCCUGUCCCUGGAUCCCAGCCCUGGGACAGAGACAUCUUCAUCAAUGUGCCACCUUUGUUUUGCUCCUAAAAGAAGCUCCCCAGAGAUGUCCUCGAACCUGGACUCCCGAGAGUGUUUCUGGCAGGAGUGUCCAGCCCCUCAGGCAUGAAAAGAGCAACCUGCAGUCUUGUUCACAUGGCAUCUCUGCUCCCCAACUCCACUCCCUGCAGUAGAACAAACAAACCCUUCAGCUCCCAGAGUCCCGACUCUUUGACCUCCUUCCACUCAGCAGUGGGGUUUCUCCAGCCUCCUCACCACACCUGUCAGUCUCUGAAUGAUGUAGGGCCUGAAUGUCAGAGUCACCAGAACAAGCACUCUCGAUUUCCAAGCAGCGGGGCCUGUGUGUACUCAGCCCCUCUGGAAACCAGGUCUGAAAUGGGGAGCAAGAACCCCAGCCCAGUAACAGUAGGAGUGGGCAGAGCAGGCCUGUACCAGGGUGCUUUCUCCUGGGCUGCAAAGCCUGGGGCCUAGCCAAGCUGAUUACAGAAUGAGCCCUACCUGAGAGGGACUAUGUACCUCCUCCUAAAGAGCCAGAUUUCAGUAGUGAUACGGCCCAGCAGGGGUAUCAACAGGAAUGAGAACGAGGUAGGAAGUUCAGAGCAGCAAGGAAAGCCUAGAGGGGAACUUGAGAAGAGAGGUAGGAAGUGCCCAGGGAAAACUGCAGCAAAGAGAAAGGAGCAGACCAAGCUGUUGGGUACAGGGCUCUGGGCUGCUACCAGUGUCAGGGUGGGGCUGGGUUCCCCUGCUGGCCCAAAGAAGGGGGCAUACAAACACCCGGAGAGAGUUCCAAGCCUAGCAAGGGGGCUGCAGGCUGAGCAAGAGCCCCGGCGAUGACAGAAGGACUUUUUUCUGUGGAAAGACCUCUUUGGACUUUUAGUAUGAGACAAGCUGGGCCCAGUAAGGGUGGACUAAAGGUGGUGACCAGGCCGGAGGCUGAGUUACUAGGCAGAGAAACUGCCAUGGUGCUGGAGCAACCAUUGAUGGGGGACGCUAGCCCAGCAAGAGGGCUGUGAUUCUAUGUCUGGACAAAAAGAGCAGACACGGAGAGCAUGCCUGGGCUGUGCUGAGAAGGUUAGUCCAGGAGAGCAGGGCAUGAGAAAGUGUACAAGCGUGGCCUAAUGCCAAGAUGGGGACAAGAGUUCUUUGUUUUGGGUGCAGAGAACAGGCCAUAUCAAAACACAGGCCUGCUUAGGAAAUUGCUGAGUGGCAAAAGGAGGGGCCAGGGCCCCAAGAAGGUAGAAAGAAAGGAGAAGGUGUCCUCUGGCACAAAUCCACAUGAGGCAGGCAAUGUGGAGGUGGCAGGGAUGGCCGUGGACUUUGCAGACCCUCCACCAACACACCCUGUCGGGUUCUGCAGGGAGGUGAAGGAUGAAAUGGUUGGCACAGAGAUGAAGCAGACUGAAGUGGGGACAAACACAAGGGUGGAACAGUCCAUGAUGGAUCCUUAGACCCUGACAGAAAAGGUUUUGGGGGAUGCAGCGGCAGUAGCAAAAAGGCUAUAGGAGAAGCUAGUGGCUUCAGAACAAGGCUCUCCAAGCAGCUGUUAAUGAGAAUGAGUGGCAGAAGGAAGAGCGUUGGGAUACUGCAGAAGAGGAGGAUUGCCUCUUAAUUCUGGUGAGCGAGCUGGCAGUGGAGCUGGAGAUGCUGAGUGCCCAGGCUGUACAAGCGCGCAGCCGGUGACAGCGACGAGAUGGGGAGGGAUGAAGCUUGGACAAGAGUAGAACUUGCCCUUGGUUUGGGCUGGAUUUUAAGGAGGGUAUAUAACAGGAUGGCUUGGUCUGUUGGCUGUAAAGCCUGGAGUUAGGCCAAAAUUGAUUUCAAAGUGAGCCCCACCUGAGGGGAAACCAGGGAAAACUGCAGGAAAAGUAAAGGAGCAGGCCUAGCAGUUCAGUACAGGGCUUUGGGCCAGAACCUAGUGUCCAGGGCAGGAGUGGGUUCUCUCACCAUCCCCAAGGAAGACGAUGUACCAUACAAGAUCAUGGAAAGGGCUACCAAGCCCAGCAAGGGCAGGCCAAGCCAAAGUUAGUCUGAGGAAGUGCCCCCAAGAGGGCGGAAGGCCUUGUUUCUGUUAAAGACAUUUUUGAACUUUUAGUUUGGGAUGAGCGUGACCCAGGAAGGAGCGGACUAAAGGA